This 941-nucleotide ribosomal RNA is filed under the name Escherichia coli. Its description in RNAcentral is "partial 23S ribosomal RNA". It matches the Rfam family "Bacterial large subunit ribosomal RNA", at positions 582 to 1528 of the family's 2925-position model. Lineage: Bacteria; Pseudomonadati; Pseudomonadota; Gammaproteobacteria; Enterobacterales; Enterobacteriaceae. The record is from RNAcentral.
CGCUUCGGCGUGUGACUGCGUACCUUUUGUAUAAUGGGUCAGCGACUUAUAUUCUGUAGCAAGGUUAACCGAAUAGGGGAGCCGAAGGGAAACCGAGUCUUAACUGGGCGUUAAGUUGCAGGGUAUAGACCCGAAACCCGGUGAUCUAGCCAUGGGCAGGUUGAAGGUUGGGUAACACUAACUGGAGGACCGAACCGACUAAUGUUGAAAAAUUAGCGGAUGACUUGUGGCUGGGGGUGAAAGGCCAAUCAAACCGGGAGAUAGCUGGUUCUCCCCGAAAGCUAUUUAGGUAGCGCCUCGUGAAUUCAUCUCCGGGGGUAGAGCACUGUUUCGGCAAGGGGGUCAUCCCGACUUACCAACCCGAUGCAAACUGCGAAUACCGGAGAAUGUUAUCACGGGAGACACACGGCGGGUGCUAACGUCCGUCGUGAAGAGGGAAACAACCCAGACCGCCAGCUAAGGUCCCAAAGUCAUGGUUAAGUGGGAAACGAUGUGGGAAGGCCCAGACAGCCAGGAUGUUGGCUUAGAAGCAGCCAUCAUUUAAAGAAAGCGUAAUAGCUCACUGGUCGAGUCGGCCUGCGCGGAAGAUGUAACGGGGCUAAACCAUGCACCGAAGCUGCGGCAGCGACACUAUGUGUUGUUGGGUAGGGGAGCGUUCUGUAAGCCUGUGAAGGUGUGCUGUGAGGCAUGCUGGAGGUAUCAGAAGUGCGAAUGCUGACAUAAGUAACGAUAAAGCGGGUGAAAAGCCCGCUCGCCGGAAGACCAAGGGUUCCUGUCCAACGUUAAUCGGGGCAGGGUGAGUCGACCCCUAAGGCGAGGCCGAAAGGCGUAGUCGAUGGGAAACAGGUUAAUAUUCCUGUACUUGGUGUUACUGCGAAGGGGGGACGGAGAAGGCUAUGUUGGCCGGGCGACGGUUGUCCCGGUUUAAGCGUGUAGGCUGG